This is an RNA transcript of Mauremys mutica (yellowpond turtle), 1421 nucleotides long. It is a transcript of the gene named PHD finger protein 7, with no coding region annotated. NCBI's taxonomy places the organism in Eukaryota, Metazoa, Chordata, Testudines, Geoemydidae. The transcript is spliced from 13 exons. The record is from RefSeq and is a predicted model, not a curated record.
UGGAGAUUGCAGUCCACAGGAGUUGCACAUGGCAACAGACUUAACCCUUGCAAGACCAGGCUCCCAGAGGGAAGCAGGUAAGACGGGGGUCUGGGCCCCUGCCUCUGCCCUUCCCCCCAGUGAAUGCAAAGCCCUGGAAUAAUGAAAUGACAUGCCACAGCCAGACAGCACUGGGCAGCUACCAGGAGUGGUGGGAGAGCAGACCACAGACCAGUCUGAAUGCUCCUGAAAUGAACCGCCAGGCCCUGAAGCUGAAGGAGGAGGAGUGCGGGCUCUGCCGCCGGGCUGACUCCAACCCCGACACCUAUGGGCAGAAAUGCCAGCGGGGUAAGCUGUGUGUGCACGAGAACUGCCUGUACCACGCCAGCGGGCUGGUCCAGAGGGGGAAGGACGAGGAGGGAUUUUACGGGUUCCUGUAUCCGGACAUCAGGCAGGAACUGAAGCGGGCAGUUCAGAAGACCUGCUGUGUGUGUGGCCGCAAAGGGGCAUCCAUUGCCUGCCAGGGCAGGAAGUGCACCAAGAACUUCCACUUCCCCUGCGGCUCCGAGAGAGGCUGCAUCUAUCAGUUCUUUGGGGAGUUUAGAUCUUUCUGCUGGAAGCACCGGCCAGUGCAGCGAGUGAGACGGCGGCAGCAGCAGGCGGAAACCAUUUGCGUCGUCUGCUUGGAGUCCAUGCCAGGCAAACCCUCCUACAGCGCCAUGGUGUGCCCGGCUUGCAAGCACGCCUGGUUCCACCGAGACUGCAUCCAGGGACACGCUCUCCGCGCUGCCUUGUACCAUUUCCGAUGCCCCAGGUGCCGGGACAUGGGGACAUUCCAAAGAGAGAUGUUUCGAAUGGGCAUCAAAAUCCCUGACAGGGACGCCGCCUGGGAGGAAGACGGCGCGUUCAGCGACCAGUAUCACAGACACAGCCGCUGUGAUGCCGGCUGCUGCCUGUACGUGGGCGGCAGAGAGCAAUCCGCAGACGACGGCCCAUGGCAGCUGCUGCUGUGUAGCUCGUGUGGCUCCCAGGGGACCCACCGCCGCUGCUCCUCGCUGGGGGCCACCAGGGGCCCGUGGGAGUGUGAGGACUGCGCGGAGCCCGCAGGGGCGGCAUCCCGCCAGCUUUCUGCCCCGGGGAGACCAGCAACCAGCCAGGCUGCGUGUGGAACCAGGGGCAGCUCCGGUGCAUCUGCCAGAGGCAGGAGGCCAGGACCCACCACACUCACCCCGAGAGCCAGACUCUCCCGUCCCCGCAAGUGAAGACCCUUCGCUGCCCCGGUCCCUGGCUCUGCUACCUACAGAAAUGUCCCCACGAGCUCUCCCAGCGUGAGCGACGCCAGCAGGAGUGAGAACGGCGUCGCCCGCUCAGCACCAGUGCUGGGAAGAGCUGUGGACCCCCGGGGUUUCCCUGCCACUGCUCCUCUCCGUAACAUCCCAGCC